This 1052-nucleotide long non-coding RNA is filed under the name Brassica napus (rape). Its description in RNAcentral is "long non-coding RNA (BNAP_LNC027045)". Lineage: Eukaryota; Viridiplantae; Streptophyta; Magnoliopsida; Brassicales; Brassicaceae. The record is from RNAcentral.
AAUCACUAUUAAUUGCAGUAUAAUUAAACAUAUACCUUACUGCCUUGGUGUUAAUUCGAACUUGGCUUGGCCACUCAUCCAUCCGUAAGAUCCAACACUGCUCUCCUUUCGUUCCAUUAUCCAGUCAGAUCGGUCAAAUACUUAACCGAAUCCCCUUGUUCCUUAGUCACUCAGCCAACCAUCCCCACGUGACCAAGAACAAAGAGAGACGGCUUGGUCUCCAACCAGCCAUCCAAAAGAAUCAGUAUGCUAGCCAUGCUCAGCGUCUCAGAACCAGUCAUUGAUCACUCCUAGAUCAGUCAGCACAUACUCAGCUCUACAGUCCACUAUCCAGUCAGUACUCCUCACGGCCAUCCUGCUCAUCAGUCUAUCAUGUCCCGUACAUCACAAGACCGGAUCACAUCCAUCAACCACUCAAACCGUUCACAUCAGAUCCGCAUCCUUCCUAGGAUCUGACCGUCCCACGCUCAGUAUCCACGAUCAGAUGUAUGCAUCUGAUCCUUCCAACAGAUCAUCAGAACAGACCGAUAACGUAAGCCAUCGCAUCUAGAACACACUCGCGCUCCAAUGGGUGUUAAGAACCACCCACAGACGCACCAACCCACCGAUCAGUUCAUAAACCGCCUGUCUACCCAUCAAUCCCACUCGAUCCUGUACACAGUAUGCGGUAAUGAUCGAUAAGACCGCAGACUGCACCAACUACUGUUGCCGUUCACUCCGCCUCGAUCCCAUGCAGUAAUAACCGCCGACUAAGCGCCUAUCAGUCUUGAUCUGUCGAGAACUCGCAUCAGAACCAGACAUGAAUCAGAACAUCAUUACGGCCACAAUAUCCUAGGCGAAUAGGACUUCCGGCCAUCUCUCUUCAGGUUCCGAUCUGAUCUCUCCCUCUCGGCAUUUCUCUCUUUUUCUCUCCCUUUCUCUGUGUUUUCUGUCCAGACCUGUGUAGAAACGAGAUCCCCUUUCUAUUCCGCGGGAUUUUUCAUUAAAAGGGAGUUUGGGCGGUUACUUCUCGGCCUUAACCGUCCAUAACCGUCCCAUAACUGCUUUUGCGC